Non-coding RNA from Leptonychotes weddellii (Weddell seal), 923 nucleotides. The record is from RefSeq and is a predicted model, not a curated record. NCBI's taxonomy places the organism in Eukaryota, Metazoa, Chordata, Mammalia, Carnivora, Phocidae.
ACAGCAGCAAUAGAAAACUAAAGCAGAUUCCUAGUUUUAAGCACAAGAAACUAAAGGACUAUUUUAAGUAGUAGAAACUUACCAGAAGAGAUUUAUCAAGUAGCUCGCAGAAUCUUCAGGAGGGCUGGAGGGCAAGCCCCAGAGGCUCCCUGUCAGAAGCCCUAACACAGUCUUCCUGCAGACAUGCUUCGCUGACCUGGGGCAGCGCCCUGGGGGGUAUUGUAUCGUUGACAGCAACGCUGGACACCGAGCCUCAACCGCUGUUGCUAGAACUGCAGCCUCUCUGGAAAUGGGAUGUAGAUGCUGCCAUGUAUCCUCCUCUCUAGAAAUAGAUUUGUGCAGUCUCCACUUCUUUAGGUCAUUAACUUCUAAUCAAAACCUGGAGUCUGUAUGUCUGAUUGCUCUGGCUUGGCUGUUAUGUGGGCACCUUAGCUGCAAGGGAGGCUGGAAAAGUGAAUAUCUGGUACAUCUGGCUUCUCUGAUCUGCUGCCAAGGUGGUGGAUUCCUCAUAUAAGAAGGUGAUUCAUAUGCUGGUUACUAAAACGAAUGAGUACCAUCCACCAGAGCACCUACAAUCCCAGAAGAGGAGAGAUCGUCUCUGUCUCCCAGAGUCUGUCUCAAUCUCUGAGAAGGAUUUUGACUGGCCUGGCGUGGGUCUUUUGCUGUCUCCUGUAACCAAUUAUUCUUUAAGAUUGAACCUGUAGUGAUCCUCCAAGCCAUCUUCUCUCCUUUGAGGAUAAUGCUGUGGCCAAAUACUGUGGAUCCUGGACUUUGAAAUGGACAAGCACUCACUAUGCGCCCACACUGUGUAGAAGAUACAACAUCAUGGUCCUGUCCUAUUGAAAGCUCAGUCUAUAUCCAGCUGAGAUCAGGGCUCUGUAACCUGGAUUUUAAGAUGGAUUAAAAAUGAAGUGUGAAAAUAA